Glycine max (soybean) is the source of this 121-nucleotide non-coding RNA. NCBI's taxonomy places the organism in Eukaryota, Viridiplantae, Streptophyta, Magnoliopsida, Fabales, Fabaceae. The record is from Rfam.
UUUUUAUUGGAUGAUGACUAUCACGUGUCAUAUUUUGAUUGGAUGUCAACUCCAUGAAAGAUGAAAUGUAUUAUUGUUUUCAUUAACCAAUAAGAAUAUAACAAGUAACUGGAAAACAAAC